CAACCACUGGGCACACACGAACACACACACACAAUCCGAGAAGAGAAGCAGUCUCGGAGGUUGUCAUUAGCAACCGUGCUGUGACCUUUUUUUCUAAAGAUGCUGUAAUGACUCAGAUGCAAGUUACAAUACUGCCACGCAGUGAGGAAAUAUUUCUGCAGUUUGCUGAAAUGGAGAUAAACAGGAAUAUGAUGUUUUGAAAAUCAGAUUCAGCUUUGUAACAACCCAGAAUGAGUCAUCUAAAGAUUUUGGUCAUAAAGGUAUGGACAUGAUGAUGUGAACACAUCCUACUCUUCUCCUCAUCAUUCUUCUGCUUGUUACCAAGCAACAUGACGAUCACAUAAAGGCUGAGGGAAGAGAGGAGCCAGAGAGAGAACAUGUGUGGGCAGAAGAGAAAGAUAAGUGAAAAUAAAAGG
Oreochromis niloticus (Nile tilapia) is the source of this 416-nucleotide long non-coding RNA. RefSeq lists it as uncharacterized. NCBI's taxonomy places the organism in Eukaryota, Metazoa, Chordata, Actinopteri, Cichliformes, Cichlidae. The transcript has 3 exons. The record is from RefSeq and is a predicted model, not a curated record.